AGCCCUAAUUGGAAAAUUCAAGUUGAAUCUGAGAACUGAGAAGUGAGAAUCGUCCGCCGCACUCUUCCUCCCUCUAACCCUAAUCCCUUCACCAACUCCAUCCUCAGUCCGUCGCCGGUCGCCGGUCCAACCCCCCUCCAGCCGUCGCCCCUCCAGCUCCGGUCGCCUCUCUUCAUCCGGUCGCCUCCCCUGCUCCUGUCGCCCCUUCAGCUUUCACGCCGUCGUGUUCAUUCUCUCCACACUUCACAGCUCGGCCUCCAACUCCAGAUUUUGUGAAUUAAAUUUCAGAUUAGUAGAUGAAAAAAGUGUUGAGUAUCUUGUUUGUGGUCAAAAUUGGCUUCGCAAGUCUUCCAAGUUUAGUGUUGAAGAAAUUCUUGAAGAUGUCCAAAAGAUAGAAGAAGGUAUUGCAUUGAUGUCUACUCAAGAUUCAACAAAUUAAUCAAUCUCCAUUAUUUGUUGAAACUUGCACUUGUUGGACAAUAUUGAAGACUUUGUCAUGGAACUUCAUUUUGGUUUUAUUUUGAUGUAAUAUGUUGGAACUUAGACAUUUUGGUUGAUGUUUUUUGUUGUGGAAUAUUGAUUGCAUUGUUGGUUGAUGCUUUAUGGAUUAUGGAUAUUAUUAUUGUUAUGUUUUGUAGGUUGAAAAUUUCUAAGUUACUGUUAUUCUGUUUUGUUUUUUUUUCCUCCAGAUUUCGGUUUUUAUUUUUGG
Molecule: non-coding RNA, 709 nt
Organism: Salvia hispanica
Lineage: Eukaryota; Viridiplantae; Streptophyta; Magnoliopsida; Lamiales; Lamiaceae
Source: RefSeq, a predicted model, not a curated record